AAAGUACUCCCUCCAUCCCAAAAUUCUUGUCUUAGAUUUGUCUAGAUACGGAUGUAUCAAGUCACAUUUUAGUAUUAGAUACAUUCAUAUCUAGACAAAUCUAAGACAAGAAAUUUGGGAGAGGGAGUAGUUG
Molecule: non-coding RNA, 133 nt
Organism: Triticum aestivum (bread wheat)
Lineage: Eukaryota; Viridiplantae; Streptophyta; Magnoliopsida; Poales; Poaceae
Source: Rfam